UGAAAUCAAAAGAUAAAAAGAAUUCAUUGUUCAAGAACUUUCUUCUUGAUGCAGUAAAAAGGUGACAUUAAUAUCCAUUGCUUUCACGAACUCUCUUCAUGCACUGAUGUAGACUCACUUCAUUUUCUCAAAAAAAAACUCCAUCUACAUACUACAAAACAUCCCUCAAAUUAUGUAUUCAUCUCUUCUUCAUAUCAUGAAGAACAACCAACAUAAACUCUUAGAUCACCAUCUUCUUCUUAAAAAAAAC
This 250-nucleotide long non-coding RNA is filed under the name Lathyrus oleraceus (garden pea). Its description in RNAcentral is "Pisum sativum (pea) long non-coding RNA (PSAT_LNC028271)". Lineage: Eukaryota; Viridiplantae; Streptophyta; Magnoliopsida; Fabales; Fabaceae. The record is from RNAcentral.